Molecule: ribosomal RNA, 253 nt
Filed under: uncultured bacterium
Lineage: Bacteria
Description: partial 16S ribosomal RNA
Rfam family: Bacterial small subunit ribosomal RNA
Source: RNAcentral
UACGAAGGGGGCUAGCGUUGCUCGGAAUUACUGGGCGUAAAGCGCGUGUAGGUGGCGAUGUAAGUCGGGUGUGAAAUCCCUUGGCUUAACCAAGGAAGUGCAUUCGAUACUGUGUCGCUUGAGUAUCGGAGGGGUCGGCGGAAUUCCCGGUGUAGAGGUGAAAUUCGUAGAUAUCGGGAGGAACACCUGUGGCGAAGGCGGCCGACUGGACGAUCACUGACACUGAGACGCGAAAGCGUGGGUAGCAAACAGG